UCCGGGGUAGCUCAACGGUAGAGCAGUUGACUGUUAAUCAAUUGGUUGUCGGUUCGAAUCCGACCCCCGGAG
RNAcentral lists this transfer RNA (72 nucleotides) under Parcubacteria group bacterium. Its description in RNAcentral is "tRNA-Asn". It matches the Rfam family "tRNA". From Rfam's summary of the family: Transfer RNA (tRNA) molecules are approximately 80 nucleotides in length. Their secondary structure includes four short double-helical elements and three loops (D, anti-codon, and T loops). The record is from RNAcentral. RNAcentral also lists the same sequence under 1 other name.